This 464-nucleotide ribosomal RNA is filed under the name uncultured bacterium. RNAcentral's name for it is "partial 16S ribosomal RNA". It matches the Rfam family "Bacterial small subunit ribosomal RNA", at positions 28 to 507 of the family's 1533-position model. The record is from RNAcentral.
GACGAACGCUGGCGGCGUGCUUAACACAUGCAAGUCGAACGGAAAGGCCCCUUUGGGGGUCCUCGAGUGGCGAACGGGUGAGUAACACGUGAGUAACCUGCCCUUGACUUCGGGAUAACUUCAGGAAACUGGGGCUAAUACCGGAUAGGAAUCCUUGCUGCAUGGUGGGGGUUGGAAAGCUUCGGCGGUUUUGGAUGGACUCGCGGCUUAUCAGCUUGUUGGUGGGGUAGUGGCUUACCAAGGCUUUGACGGGUAGCCGGCCUGAGAGGGCGUCCGGCCACAUUGGGACUGAGAUACGGCCCAGACUCCUACGGGAGGCAGCAGUGGGGAAUAUUGCACAAUGGGCGGAAGCCUGAUGCAGCAACGCCGCGUGCGGGAUGACGGCCUUCGGGUUGUAAACCGCUUUCAGCAGGGGCGAAGCUUUUGUGACGGUACCUGCAGAAGAAGCACCGGCUAACUACGUG